UACGGAGGAUCCGAGCGUUAUCCGGAAUUAUUGGGUUUAAAGGGUGCGUAGGCGGCCAUUUAAGUCAGUGGUGAAAUCCUGCAGCUUAACUGCAGAACUGCCGUUGAUACUGAUAGCCUUGAGUUUGGUUAAGGUAGGCGGAAUGUGUAAUGUAGCGGUGAAAUGCUUAGAUAUUACACAGAACACCAAUUGCGUAGGCAGCUUACUGAGCCGACACUGACGCUGAGGCACGAAAGCGUGGGGAUCAAACAGGAUUAGA
This 259-nucleotide ribosomal RNA is filed under the name uncultured prokaryote. Its description in RNAcentral is "partial 16S ribosomal RNA". It matches the Rfam family "Bacterial small subunit ribosomal RNA", at positions 524 to 782 of the family's 1533-position model. The record is from RNAcentral.